CCUGCAGUCGAACGAUGAAGACCGUGCUUGCACGGUUGGAUUAGUGGCGAACGGGUGAGUAUCACGUGAGUAACCUUCCCUUGACUCUGGGAUAAGCCCGGGAAACUGGGUCUAAUACCGGAUACGACCAGUCCUCGCAUGGGGUGCUGGUGGAAAGAUUUAUCGGUCUUGGAUGGACUCGCGGCCUAUCAGCUUGUUGGUGAGGUAAUGGCUCACCAAGGCGAUGACGGGUAGCCGGCCUGAGAGGGUGACCGGCCACACUGGGACUGAGACACGGCCCAGACUCCUACGGGAGGCAGCAGUGGGGAAUAUUGCACAAUGGGCGAAAGCCUGAUGCAGCGACGCCGCGUGCGGGAUGACGGCCUUCGGGUUGUAAACCGCUUUCAGCAGGGAAGAAGCGAAAGUGACGGUACCUGCAGAAGAAGCGCCGGCUAACUACGUGCCAGCAGCCGCGGUAAUACGUAGGGCGCGAGCGUUAUCCGGAAUUAUUGGGCGUAAAGAGCUCGUAGGCGGUUUGUCACGUCUGCUGUGAAAGCCCGAGGCUCAACCUCGGGUGUGCAGUGGGUACGGGCAGACUAGAGUGCAGUAGGGGAGACUGGAAUUCCUGGUGUAGCGGUGAAAUGCGCAGAUAUCAGGAGGAACACCGAUGGCGAAGGCAGGUCUCUGGGCUGUUACUGACGCUGAGGAGCGAAAGCAUGGGGAGCGAACAGGAUUAGAUACCCUGGUAGUCCAUGCCGUAAACGUUGGGCACUAGGUGUGGGGGACAUUCCACGUUUUCCGCGCCGUAGCUAACGCAUUAAGUGCCCCGCCUGGGGAGUACGGCCGCAAGGCUAAAACUCAAAGGAAUUGACGGGGGCCCGCACAAGCGGCGGAGCAUGCGGAUUAAUUCGAUGCAACGCGAAGAACCUUACCAAGGCUUGACAUGGACCGGAUCGCU
This 937-nucleotide ribosomal RNA is filed under the name Nesterenkonia sp. RNAcentral's name for it is "bacterial SSU rRNA". It matches the Rfam family "Bacterial small subunit ribosomal RNA", at positions 54 to 1000 of the family's 1533-position model. The record is from RNAcentral. Lineage: Bacteria; Bacillati; Actinomycetota; Actinomycetes; Micrococcales; Micrococcaceae.